This 940-nucleotide long non-coding RNA is filed under the name Mytilus galloprovincialis (Mediterranean mussel). Lineage: Eukaryota; Metazoa; Mollusca; Bivalvia; Mytilida; Mytilidae. The record is from RNAcentral.
CUCCCUUCAUCCAUCCAUCAAUCCAUUAGAAUGCAGUAACGUCUCAGUCAUUACAGCUGAACGGACGUGCUGGGCCAGCUCUCCUUUACCCGUUAUCUUGGAUGAGGGUUUACAGUUAGAUGAUCAACGAUUUACUACUUUAGAUGACAGAAACCAAUCCAACGCCGUACAGUAGACGUAGUAACAUGCACUCCAAAACCCAUUGUAUCAUGGGGGAGUGUUAUGCUGAUUAACGUCCAAGGGCUGUAUCCUAGGUGUUAGAUGACUGACCUUCAUUUCACUGCCUCGUGGCUUUGGUCCUGAUAAUGCUUCCUGUCAUCUUUAAUACUACAUCCACGAUUCAUCUACCAGUACUCCAUCAUUGAGGUUAGUGGGCUGCCAAGCUGACCAAUCUGGCCCUGAAAGCAGCCGUUGUGAAGAAUAUAACAUCAAAUUAGUAAACAAACCAAAUCAAAACAGUUCACAAAACCAAGAUGGCGACCUCCAAAAUGGCGACCACCACUCGUUCCUAACCGAUGGCACAACAUUAUUUAAAUGCUCACCAAUCGCCUUUCGGGCACCAAGUCGACCGUUCGAGGGCUGUAUAGCCAGUCAAGGUCGUUAAACACUUCCAUAUAUUCGGGAAGUUACUUCCGUGAAUUCUGAAUUAAAACAGCACGUUGAGAAGAUAAACUUGUUCUGUCGAUAAAUGUCGUAUUAUAUUAAAAACGAUCGCACUUUAAACCGAGGAAUGUGUACGGAAAGAAGUUAUGAUCACUGACCCAAAGGAAAUUAAAUAUUUAAAGAGUUAGGAAUGGGGUUCCUUCCUAGAAUUAACGUAGGAAAAUAGGUGAUACAUGUAAGAUAUGAAAUGAAAUAUCUUCUCUCACUCUGAGUCUCAGUGACUGCUGAGGAAAGUAAACUUAUUAUUGAUAGUACAAAACUAAAACACAAUAGGCCU